AACACAUGACAAGUGCGAACGGUAACAUUUCUAGCUUGCUAGAAGAUGACGAGUGGCGGACGGGUGAGUAAUGCUUGGGAACUUGCCUUUGCGAGGGGGAUAACAGUUGGAAACGACUGCUAAUACCGCAUAAUGUCUUCGGACCAAACGGGGCUUAGGCUCCGGCGCAAAGAGAGGCCCAAGUGAGAUUAGCUAGUUGGUAAGGUAACGGCUUACCAAGGCGACGAUCUCUAGCUGUUCUGAGAGGAAGAUCAGCCACACUGGGACUGAGACACGGCCCAGACUCCUACGGGAGGCAGCAGUGGGGAAUAUUGCACAAUGGGGGAAACCCUGAUGCAGCCAUGCCGCGUGUGUGAAGAAGGCCUUCGGGUUGUAAAGCACUUUCAGUUGUGAGGAAAAGUUAGUAGUUAAUACCUGCUAGCCGUGACGUUAACAACAGAAGAAGCACCGGCUAACUCCGUGCCAGCAGCCGCGGUAAUACGGAGGGUGCGAGCGUUAAUCGGAAUUACUGGGCGUAAAGCGCACGCAGGCGGUUUGUUAAGCUAGAUGUGAAAGCCCCGGGCUCAACCUGGGAUGGUCAUUUAGAACUGGCAGACUAGAGUCUUGGAGAGGGGAGUGGAAUUCCAGGUGUAGCGGUGAAAUGCGUAGAUAUCUGGAGG
Molecule: ribosomal RNA, 659 nt
Filed under: bacterium T280
Lineage: Bacteria
Description: bacterial SSU rRNA
Rfam family: Bacterial small subunit ribosomal RNA
Source: RNAcentral